RNAcentral lists this ribosomal RNA (460 nucleotides) under uncultured bacterium. RNAcentral describes it as "partial 16S ribosomal RNA". It matches the Rfam family "Bacterial small subunit ribosomal RNA", at positions 338 to 795 of the family's 1533-position model. The record is from RNAcentral.
CCUACGGGUGGCAGCAGUGAGGAAUAUUGGUCAAUGGGCGCGAGCCUGACCCAGCCAAGUAGCGUGAAGGAUGACUGCCCUACGGGUUGUAAACUUCUUUUAUAAAGGAAUAAAGUGAGGCACGUGUGCCUUUUUGUAUGUACUUUAUGAUUAAGGAUCGGCUAACUCCGUGCCAGCAGCCGCGGUAAUACGGAGGAUCCGAGCGUUAUCCGGAGUUAUUGGGUUUAAAGGGAGCGUAGAUGGGUUGUUAAGUCAGUUGUGAAAUUUUUGGGCUGAACCGUAAAAUGGCAAUUGAUACUGGCAUCCUUGAGUGCAGUUGAGGAAGGCGGAAUUCGGGGUGUAGCGGUGAAAUGCGUAGAGAUCAGGAAGAACCCCAGUGGCGAAGGCAGCCUACUAAACUGCCACUGACGUUGAUGUGCGAAAGGGUGGGGAUCAAACAGGAUUAGAUACCCUAGUAGUC